Molecule: long non-coding RNA, 1353 nt
Organism: Cavia porcellus (domestic guinea pig)
Lineage: Eukaryota; Metazoa; Chordata; Mammalia; Rodentia; Caviidae
Exons: 2
Source: RefSeq, a predicted model, not a curated record
CAUCUGCAGACAGGAAGGGGGAGGUGAAUUGACAGCCCAGUGCUCCCAGGGAGAUCAACAAGUGCUUCUGCAAGGGUGCCUGUGUGGGUGGAGCACCUCCAAAUCCCAGUCCUGCAGCGCCCCAGCACCUCCCUCACCCCUGCACGGUCCAGGAAGCAAAUUCUCUGUUGCUGGAGACAACCCUAAAGGGCUCACCCUCUGGGUCGUACACAAGAGCUAUGUCCCGAAGGGAAGUUGGUACUUGCCAGAAGGCCCCAGGGUACCCACCCCACUUGGCCUCUCCACCCCAAAGCCCCAGGGAGUGGCCAGGAGCAUCAGACAGCCUGCAAGGGAUGAGGAAGAGGUCCGUCGGGAGAGACCCCAGCACCUGCUCCAGCUCCGAGGAGUGCAGAGCGGGGCUCUGAGGACAAAAGUGGGCGAGGCUCCCGCGCUGCAGCCGCCACCACCUCCCACAGCCUCUUCUAGCUCUCGCGGGACCGAAUCGUCGCACCUCCCCUCUGUCUCGCGGGCCCCGCCUUACCACUGCUGCUGCGAAAUUCUAUUGGCCAAGCCUGCCGCCAUUCUUCAGUUGCUAUGAAGUUCACCGCAUUCCUGUUGACCUAGUCUCACUACUCUUACCCUCCCCUCCAGUUUGUCUGUGCCCUUACAAAACCCCGCCACGCCCACACUGCCAGCAAGACCGUGAGCUAAUGUCAUUGGCUCACGUAGAUUUCCGUCAACCGCUACCAUGGGGAUUGCCCCGCCUCUCCCCUACUAAUACCUGACGUCUACUCCCUCAUUGGACGAAAGCGUCGUCUCUCCUAGCAAAUACUGGUUGGGUCAGGUUAUCUAGGUCCAAAUAGAAGAGGGCGGGUCCCGUUCCCUCCAGAAUUCUUAUGUGAUUGGCUGAAACGGGCUAUCUUUCCAUUGGCUACAUCUCUGUCGGUCAUUAUAGUUGCGACCUCCUCAUUCCCCCCCCCCCAGACACAGGGCAGAGAAAUCCAGGGCUGCGGGCCGGAGGCGGUUGAGUGGCUUUGAGUGCACCUCCUUCUCUCCUUUCCCUUGUGGCCUGCGGUUACCAAGUCGACAAAACUUUAUUAACAGUCCUUCCUAGCUACAAACGGCUUCGCCUUCUCUCCCUCUACCGUUACCACGUUUCAUUUUGGAAAAACGUAUACACGGGGACUCUGUGAGGCUUUUUUGUCAUAUAACCCGAUCGGAAGGAGAAGAGCCUGGGAACAGGGGCUUAGGAGAGAAGCCCUGACUUAGGAGAGAAGCCCUGACUUAAGGGGCGCUCGCUGCAGCCCUCCCCCAUUAAGAUCAUGUUCCUGCUUCCUCGUCAGCAUUAGCACAACAUGCUCCACGCUCAGAGCA